Molecule: ribosomal RNA, 253 nt
Filed under: uncultured bacterium
Lineage: Bacteria
Description: partial 16S ribosomal RNA
Rfam family: Bacterial small subunit ribosomal RNA
Source: RNAcentral
UACGAAGGGUGCAAGCGUUAAUCGGAAUUACUGGGCGUAAAGCGCGUGUAGGCGGCUUGGCAAGUCGGAUGUGAAAGCCCGAGGCUCAACCUCGGAACUGCAUUCGAAACUGCCAGGCUAGAGUCCUGGAGAGGAUGGUGGAAUUCCCAGUGUAGAGGUGAAAUUCGUAGAUAUUGGGAGGAACACCAGUGGCGAAGGCGGCCAUCUGGACAGUGACUGACGCUGAGACGCGAAAGCGUGGGGAGCAAACAGG